UACAGAGGUCUCAAGCGUUGUUCGGAUUCAUUGGGCGUAAAGGGUGCGUAGGUGGCGAAGUAAGUCGGGUGUGAAAUCUCGGGGCUUAACUCCGAAACUGCAUUCGAUACUACCGUGCUUGAGGACUGGAGAGGAGACUGGAAUUUACGGUGUAGCGGUGAAAUGCGUAGAUAUCGUAAGGAAGACCAGUGGCGAAGGCGGGUCUCUGGACAGUUCCUGACGCUGAGGCACGAAGGUCAGGGGAGCAAACGGG
This 253-nucleotide ribosomal RNA is filed under the name uncultured bacterium. Its description in RNAcentral is "partial 16S ribosomal RNA". It matches the Rfam family "Bacterial small subunit ribosomal RNA", at positions 524 to 776 of the family's 1533-position model. The record is from RNAcentral.